Molecule: ribosomal RNA, 2013 nt
Filed under: human gut metagenome
Description: bacterial LSU rRNA
Rfam family: Bacterial large subunit ribosomal RNA
Source: RNAcentral
GGUGAAAGGCCAAUCAAACCGGGAGAUAGCUGGUUCUCCCCGAAAGCUAUUUAGGUAGCGCCUCGUGAACUCAUCUUCGGGGGUAGAGCACUGUUUCGGCUAGGGGGCCAUCCCGGCUUACCAACCCGAUGCAAACUACGAAUACCGAAGAAUGUUAUCACGGGAGACACACGGCGGGUGCUAACGUCCGUCGUGAAGAGGGAAACAACCCAGACCGCCAGCUAAGGUCCCAAAGUCAUGGUUAAGUGGGAAACGAUGUGGGAAGGCACAGACAGCCAGGAUGUUGGCUUAGAAGCAGCCAUCAUUUAAAGAAAGCGUAAUAGCUCACUGGUCGAGUCGGCCUGCGCGGAAGAUGUAACGGGGCUAAACCAUGCACCGAAGCUGCGGCAGCGACACUAUGUGUUGUUGGGUAGGGGAGCGUUCUGUAAGCCGUUGAAGGUGGCCUGUGAGGGUUGCUGGAGGUAUCAGAAGUGCGAAUGCUGACAUAAGUAACGAUAAAGCGGGUGAAAAGCCCGCUCGCCGGAAGACCAAGGGUUCCUGUCCAACGUUAAUCGGGGCAGGGUGAGUCGACCCCUAAGGCGAGGCCGAAAGGCGUAGUCGAUGGGAAACAGGUUAAUAUUCCUGUACUUGGUGUUACUGCGAAGGGGGGACGGAGAAGGCUAUGUUAGCCGGGCGACGGUUGUCCCGGUUUAAGCAUGUAGGCGGAGGUUCCAGGUAAAUCCGGUACCUUUUUAACGCUGAGGUGUGAUGACGAGGCACUACGGUGCUGAAGUAACAAAUGCCCUGCUUCCAGGAAAAGCCUCUAAGCAUCAGGUAACACGAAAUCGUACCCCAAACCGACACAGGUGGUCAGGUAGAGAAUACCAAGGCGCUUGAGAGAACUCGGGUGAAGGAACUAGGCAAAAUGGUGCCGUAACUUCGGGAGAAGGCACGCUGAUAUGUAGGUGAAGCCCCUGCGGGUGGAGCUGAAAUCAGUCGAAGAUACCAGCUGGCUGCAACUGUUUAUUAAAAACACAGCACUGUGCAAACACGAAAGUGGACGUAUACGGUGUGACGCCUGCCCGGUGCCGGAAGGUUAAUUGAUGGGGUUAGCGGUAACGCGAAGCUCUUGAUCGAAGCCCCGGUAAACGGCGGCCGUAACUAUAACGGUCCUAAGGUAGCGAAAUUCCUUGUCGGGUAAGUUCCGACCUGCACGAAUGGCGUAAUGAUGGCCAGGCUGUCUCCACCCGAGACUCAGUGAAAUUGAACUCGCUGUGAAGAUGCAGUGUACCCGCGGCAAGACGGAAAGACCCCGUGAACCUUUACUAUAGCUUGACACUGAACAUUGAGCCUUGAUGUGUAGGAUAGGUGGGAGGCUUUGAAGCGUGGACGCCAGUCUGCGUGGAGCCGACCUUGAAAUACCACCCUUUAAUGGCUGGUGUUCUAACGUAGACCCGUAAUCCGGGUUGCGGACAGUGUCUGGUGGGUAGUUUGACUGGGGCGGUCUCCUCCCAAAGAGUAACGGAGGAGCACGAAGGUUAGCUAAUCCUGGUCGGACAUCAGGAGGUUAGUGCAAUGGCAUAAGCUAGCUUGACUGCGAGAGUGACGGCUCGAGCAGGUGCGAAAGCAGGUCAUAGUGAUCCGGUGGUUCUGAAUGGAAGGGCCAUCGCUCAACGGAUAAAAGGUACUCCGGGGAUAACAGGCUGAUACCGCCCAAGAGUUCAUAUCGACGGCGGUGUUUGGCACCUCGAUGUCGGCUCAUCACAUCCUGGGGCUGAAGUAGGUCCCAAGGGUAUGGCUGUUCGCCAUUUAAAGUGGUACGCGAGCUGGGUUUAGAACGUCGUGAGACAGUUCGGUCCCUAUCUGCCGUGGGCGCUGGAGAAUUGAGGGGGGCUGCUCCUAGUACGAGAGGACCGGAGUGGACGCAUCACUGGUGUUCGGGUUGUCAUGCCAAUGGCACUGCCCGGUAGCUAAAUGCGGAAGAGAUAAGUGCUGAAAGCAUCUAAGCACGAAACUUGCCCCGAGAUGAGUUCU